RNAcentral lists this ribosomal RNA (465 nucleotides) under Vreelandella stevensii. Its description in RNAcentral is "partial 16S ribosomal RNA". It matches the Rfam family "Bacterial small subunit ribosomal RNA", at positions 338 to 795 of the family's 1533-position model. The record is from RNAcentral. Lineage: Bacteria; Pseudomonadati; Pseudomonadota; Gammaproteobacteria; Oceanospirillales; Halomonadaceae.
CCUACGGGUGGCAGCAGUGGGGAAUAUUGGACAAUGGGGGCAACCCUGAUCCAGCCGUGCCGCGUGUGUGAAGAAGGCCCUCGGGUUGUAAAGCACUUUCAGUGAGGAAGAACGCCUGGUGGUUAAUACCCAUCAGGAAAGACAUCACUCACAGAAGAAGCACCGGCUAACUCCGUGCCAGCAGCCGCGGUAAUACGGAGGGUGCGAGCGUUAAUCGGAAUUACUGGGCGUAAAGCGCGCGUAGGUGGCUUGAUAAGCCGGUUGUGAAAGCCCCGGGCUCAACCUGGGAACGGCAUCCGGAACUGUCAAGCUAGAGUGCAGGAGAGGAAGGUAGAAUUCCCGGUGUAGCGGUGAAAUGCGUAGAGAUCGGGAGGAAUACCAGUGGCGAAGGCGGCCUUCUGGACUGACACUGACACUGAGGUGCGAAAGCGUGGGUAGCAAACAGGAUUAGAUACCCUAGUAGUC